Molecule: ribosomal RNA, 487 nt
Filed under: uncultured bacterium
Lineage: Bacteria
Description: partial 16S ribosomal RNA
Rfam family: Bacterial small subunit ribosomal RNA
Source: RNAcentral
ACUCAAAUGAAUUGACGGGGACCCGCACAAGCGGUGGAGCACGUGGUUUAAUUCGACGGUAAGCGUGGAACCUUACCCAGACUUGACAUCUAGCGAAAGCACCAGAAAUGGAGCCGUGCCUUCGGGAACGCUAAGACAGGUACUGCAUGGUUGUCGUCAGCUCGUGCCGUGAGGUGUACGGUUAAGUCCGAUAACGAGCGCAACCCCUAUCAUAUGUUAAAAUAUUCAUAUGAGACUGCCCGGGAUAACCGGGAGGAAGGCGGGGAUGACGUCAAAUCAGCAUGGUCCUUACGUCUGGGGCUACACACAUGCUACAAUGGAUAAUUACAAAGGGACGCCAAACCGUAAGGUGGAGCAAAUCCCAACAAACUUAUCCUCAGUUCAGAUUGAGGGCUGCAACUCGCCCUCAUGAAGCCGGAAUCGCUAGUAACCGUGUAUCAGCCAUGGCACGGUGAAUACGUUCUCGGGUCUUGUACACACCGCCCGU